AUUGAACGCUGGCGGCAGGCCUAACACAUGCAAGUCGAGCGGAUGAAGGGAGCUUGCUCCUGGAUUCAGCGGCGGACGGGUGAGUAAUGCCUAGGAAUCUGCCUGGCAGUGGGGGAUAACGUCCGGACACGGGCGCUAAUACCGCAUACGUCCUGAGGGAGAAAGUGGGGGAUCUUCGGACCUCACGCUAUCUGAUGAGCCUAGGUCGGAUUAGCUAGUUGGUGGGGUAAAGGCCUACCAAGGCGACGUUCCGUAACUGGUCUGAGAGGAUGAUCAGUCACACUGGAAGUGAGACACGGUCCAGACUCCUACGGGGGGCAGCAGUGGGGAAUAUUGGACAAUGGGCGGAAGCCUGAUCCAGCCAUGCCGCGUGUGUGAAGAAGGUCUUCGGAUUGUAAAGCACUUUUAGUUGGGAGGAAGGGCAGUAAGUUAAUACCUUGCUGUUUUGACGUUACCAGCAGAAUAAGCACCGGCUAACUUCGUG
Molecule: ribosomal RNA, 484 nt
Filed under: uncultured bacterium
Lineage: Bacteria
Description: partial 16S ribosomal RNA
Rfam family: Bacterial small subunit ribosomal RNA
Source: RNAcentral